CCCUUCCCCCACUUCUCAGGUGAAUGUAUGAAUAAUGCAUUCCGCUUCUUCUUCAUGACACACACCCCUACCCCCAUCUUCCUCCUCACACAUUGACAGCAUGGCUGCUAAUCAAAAACGACACUUCCCAGUGUCCAGGCGGACAACUCUCUCUCUCACACACACACACACACACACAUUUAUAUGCACUCAGAGAUGGAUAUAUGUACAUUAAUCUACAGAAACAUUUUAUUUAGGCAAACAAAAAGGAUUAAAAAUAACAAAAACUUAGAGAAAAGGAGACUUAAAAAAUGAAAAAAAUUUUUUUAGAGACUCUGAUAUCUGAAAAUGACAAAAACACACAAAAAUUGAAAAGUGAUCAGAAUGGCAUUUUAAAAAGGGACAUGAAGACCAAAAUAAUGGGCAAAGUGAGUGAAAAAUAUCAGGACAUCAAAAAGGGAAAAAAAUGACAUAUUGACAAAACCUACAAACAAAGCCAAUAAUGCCUAAAAAGAAGGAAAGGACUGAUUUUCUUAAAAAUUAACAAAAGAAAAAUGAAAAGCCCAAAUUGUCCAAAAAUGGACCAUAUAUCUCCAAAAUGGAGACAAAAGGAUGGUUCAAAACAAGGAAUAAAAAGGAAAAAAGUGUGACUUGUUUGGUGCAGAAAUCAAACCUGUGAUCAUUAAAACAAUUUAGCGCCUUGUGUACGCUUGUUGAAAUUCUCUGUCGGAAUGUAUUUCAAGUGUGAAAGGAAAAAAAACGCAACUGCAGCCCGUUUUUCCUCUCCCUGUCCCUCUUUGAUAUCCGAAAACACAGAUGGGGUGGGCGCCGAGGAAAGGUCAUGUGUGGACACCAGUCCCCGCCCCCACCCUUGACUCCACCCCUUAAUAACACCUACAUUUUAAGUGUCUGUCCACUGACCCGUUAGUGCUUAUGGAUGUACCCCUCGGCCGGUGAUUUGUUUAAACUGCGGAAAUGGCGGUGGCGGUCUGUAAACAAGCCAAGUGCCGAAUGAAGGCAACCGCCCAAGCGUGGCGGCGGCUCGGCUAUUUAUCAUCGAGCUUUCAUAAAACACCAGCCGAUGCCAGCGCUGUGAUGACUUCAUUCCACGCGGCGGGGCUAAAGUUGGAAAAAGUGCAGCGGAUUUCACCGCAAUCGCGUCGAAGCGAAGCUAAAAAUAUAUAAAAAUCUAUAAUAAUGCACCGAGCCUCUUCUCCCAAGCCACGGAAGACGGCCACGAAGCCCACGGCCAAUAAGUGCUAACAACGCCGCCGUUUCACGCAGCAUUACGCUAACAACCAUCAGAGCGCUGCGCAUUUGCAUCCUCGCCGCCAUCUUUACCUGCCGGUGGUAAUUUAUGGAGCGAAGGCGAGGAACAACACCAGGCUUACAAUUAAGGGCGCGGAGGCAAGAUUUAUGGCACAAGGCUGAGAGACGUGCGGCCGUUUCAGAGUUAGCGGCUAAUGCUAGUUUAAGGUUUCAAACCCAACUGUUUAAGCAUUUUCUUGAGCCGUCACCUGACUGUGGUGGAAGGGUUUGCGUGUCCCAGCGACACCAGUAGUUAAGUUGUCUUGGGGUUUACAGUGCCAAACGUCCUUGGUGAGGGAGCAUACAAAGCACGGCUUUAAAACCUCACAUGAUGCAAAACGGUUUUGGACAGAAUUUCCUCUGCAGCCAAGUUCAGAGAUGGCACUGUGGUGAGCGGCUGCCGACCGGGUCUGCACCCAUGGGGUGAGUCAACAUUGGUUCUCCUUCCCAUGCAUGGACUCACCACCAGUGGAAGGAGCCAAGAGUUAUGUAGAGUGGGGAUGGGCCACUGUUGAUCUCGACUUGGGAAGUUGUGAAUCGGUGGGGAGAAUAUUUCAAAGACCCCACUUCUGUCUGGAGUCUGAGGCAGUUAUCUCGGGUUGAAGUCAGAGAGGUGCCAAAAAAGUUCCUCCUGGAUUGUGAGAGAGUCUUGGUUCACAAUUAUCUCUCAUUGUGUUCAUUGGAAUCUUAAGUAUCAAAAGAUCAAGCGGCUCGGAAGAUGAAUGAAUGACUAGGCAGAAGUGUAUUCAUGUACAGGUGUCGGUCGGGGGGGAAAAAUAGUGGUAUUGCAGAUCCCCGAGAUGAACAAUGGGACUGUUUGUCUAACCAAUCAGAUUUUAAACUUGUCCUCACAGGGUCAGGGUGCCGGCCUUCGAUGAUGUCAGCAUUUGUCCGUCUUCCGAUUGGUUUGUCGGAGCAAACUUUGUUCCUGUUCAUUUUGGCUAGCAAAUCACGUCUCUGGUGAGUCUAAUGUCUUUUGUUGCACGUUGUGAUUUUUGGCUCCUCUUUUUAGAUAUAUAUUGAUUAUGAACUCCUCCAGAUGUGUGUGUUGUAUCCCCUUUUCAUAUAAUUGAUGGUUGGUGUAAUUGCUUGGGCGUGACAGUGGUGCAAGUAAGAGGUGGGUUGCCAAGUGAUUGUGGCGGGACAGAGAAGAGAGGGGAGGGGAGGAAAAAAAAAACACAUUUUCCAAAUCCAAACGCGGCGGCGGGGAAAAAAAACAACAAGCGUAUUUUACGGGUGCAGUUAAUGGGAAUAAAGCAGGCGGGCAGAUGAGUGCAGAUGUGUUUGAUCCAAAUGGUCAUUUUCCUAUUUGCUGCCUCAUUGAGCAUGAUGAACGACGGCCGUCAGCCGGGCGGCAUGAUGAAUGGCGGCACCUCGGCGCCAUUGCAUGCCCUAUUGAUUCGCCUUCUUUAUUACUCCCGAAACCCCACGGCCUGCAUGGCUGCCUGCGAAAGAGGAGGGCGCACGGCGUUCCCCUCUCACGCCAUGACUGACGCCAGUUUGGACCAGUGGACAACACUCACCUGGACAAAUUAGGCCCUCGAAAGUGACAUUUACAAAAUCACCUAAGGACGUCGUUUGUUGCAAAAACAAAACAUGACACGUAAAAAUGAGAGAGAUUCAAAUGUGAUCUGUGAAUUUUUUUAAGGAUAUGAUUUUUUUAAAUUAUUCAAAUUCAUUUAAAUCUAACUACUUCACCACAAAAAGGCUAAAUUUGUUCUAUUUUCAGUUCAAUUCACAAUUUUUUUACAUUUAUGUAUUGAAUUUUGUAAUCAAAAAAAACAUUCAUUUGGCCAAAAUGUUGUUUUUUAUGUAAAAUUGUGUAACUGAUAUGAGAAUAAUUCAAAUUGUAAAAGUCUAUGAUUACAAUGUAUUCAAUUGUAAUCAAUUUAAAUAUUAAAUAAAAUAAACAUUCAACAAUUCUUUUUUUUUAAGUUUACUCAUAAUAUAAAAGUUUCACAUGUUUUUAUAUGUGCUUAUUUAUUUGUUUAUAUUUUACAAUAAAUCAAAUAUACCGGGCAAGCAUGAAUAAAGAAUGCUGAACAAUUGACAAUUUAGUCAGAUUGCACGAAACAUCGGCACUGGAGCUGAA
Hippocampus zosterae (dwarf seahorse) is the source of this 3379-nucleotide long non-coding RNA. RefSeq lists it as uncharacterized. The record is from RefSeq and is a predicted model, not a curated record. Lineage: Eukaryota; Metazoa; Chordata; Actinopteri; Syngnathiformes; Syngnathidae. The transcript is spliced from 2 exons.